Molecule: ribosomal RNA, 340 nt
Filed under: uncultured eukaryote
Lineage: Eukaryota
Description: partial Eukaryotic small subunit ribosomal RNA
Rfam family: Eukaryotic small subunit ribosomal RNA
Source: RNAcentral
AUCUGGUUGAUUCUGCCAGUAGUCAUACGCUCGUCUCAAAGAUUAAGCCAUGCAUGUCUAAGUAUAAACAACUCUAUACUGUGAAACUGCGUACGGCUCAUUAAACCAGUUAUAGUUUAUUUGAUAUUCCCCUACUACUCGGAUACCCGUAGUAAUUCUAGAGCUAAUACGUGCGUCAAACGGCAUAUGUCGUGUCAUUAUUAGAUAGAAACCAAUGCGGUCUCGGCCGGUAUUGUGGUGAGUCAUGAUAAUUUAGCGGAUCGCAUGGCCUUGCGCCGGCGAUGGAUCAUUCAAGUUUCUGCCCUAUCAGCUUUCGAUGGUAGGAUAGAGGCCUACCAUG